UACGUAGGGCGCAAGCGUUGUCCGGAAUUAUUGGGCGUAAAGAGCUCGUAGGCGGCCUGUUGCGUCCGCUGUGAAAUCCCGGGGCUCAACCCCGGGCGUGCAGUGGAUACGGGCUGGCUGGAGGCAGGCAGGGGAGAACGGAAUUCCUGGUGUAGCGGUGGAAUGCGCAGAUAUCAGGAGGAACACCGGUGGCGAAGGCGGGUCUCUGGGCCGUUACUGACGCUGAGGAGCGAAAGCGUGGGGAGCGAACAGG
This 253-nucleotide ribosomal RNA is filed under the name uncultured bacterium. RNAcentral's name for it is "partial 16S ribosomal RNA". It matches the Rfam family "Bacterial small subunit ribosomal RNA", at positions 524 to 776 of the family's 1533-position model. The record is from RNAcentral.